RNAcentral lists this ribosomal RNA (422 nucleotides) under uncultured bacterium. RNAcentral describes it as "partial 16S ribosomal RNA". It matches the Rfam family "Bacterial small subunit ribosomal RNA", at positions 360 to 774 of the family's 1533-position model. The record is from RNAcentral.
AAUAUUUGACAAUGGGGGCAACCCUGAUCUAGCCAUACCACGUGUGUGAAGAAGUUCUUCGGAUUGUAAAGCACUUUACUUUGGGCGGAAUGGCUUUAGCCUAAUACCCUGAAGUUUUUACGUUACCAACCGAAUAAGCACCGGCUAACUUCGUGCCAGCGUCCGCGUUAAUACGAAGGGUGCAAGCGUUAAUCGGAAUUACUGGGCGUAAAGCGCGCGUAGGUGGUGUGUUAAGUUGGAAGUGAAAGCCCCGGGCUCAACCUGGGAACUGCUUUAAAAACUGGCAAGCUAGAGUAUGGCAGAGGGUGGUGGAAUUUCCUGUGUAGCGGUGAAAUGCGUAGAUAUAGGAAGGAACACCAGUGGCGAAGGCGACCACCUGGGCUAAUACUGACACUGAGGUGCGAAAGCGUGGGGAGCAAACA